RNAcentral lists this ribosomal RNA (2230 nucleotides) under Candidatus Adlerbacteria bacterium GW2011_GWA1_54_10. RNAcentral's name for it is "bacterial SSU rRNA". The stretch from base 1 to 1310 matches the Rfam family "Bacterial small subunit ribosomal RNA". Lineage: Bacteria; Candidatus Adleribacteriota. The record is from RNAcentral.
UUCAGAGUUUGAUCCUAGCUCAGGAUGAAUGCUAGCGGCGUGGAUAAGGCAUGCAAGUCAUGGGAUGCUGAAGUCGCAAGACCGAAGUAAACCGGCAGACGAGGUAGUAAUACGCAGGUACGCACCGAAGAGUCGGGCAUAGCCAGCCGAAAGGUUGGGUAAUUCCCGAUAGUCCCUGAGACGCAAGUCGAAGGGUAAAGCGGCAACGCGCUCUUUGAGCGGCCUGCGGGGCAUCAGCUAGACGGUAGGGUAACGGCCUACCGUGGCUACGACGCCUAGGGGAGCUGAGAGGCUGACCCCCACCGAUGGGACUGAGACACGGCCCAUACACCUACGGGUGGCUGCAGUCGAGAAUAUUUGGCAAUGGGCGAAAGCCUGACCAUGCGACGCCGCGUGCUGGACGAAGUCCUUCGGGACGUAAACAGCUUUUAUGCGUGAGGAAGUAAUUGACGUUAGCGCAUGAAUAAGGGGCUCCUAACUCUGUGCCAGCAGGAGCGGUAAUACAGAGGCCCCGAGCAUUAUCCGGAAUCACUGGGCGUAAAGGGUGUGUAGGCGGCCAUGUUAGUCCGUUCGUAAAAGCCCGCGGGCUCAACCCGUGGAAUGCGGCGGAAACGGCACGGCUUUAAGAGGACGCGAGAGGCAAAGGGAACUCAUGGUGUAGGGGUGAAAUCCGUUGAUAUCAUGGGGAACACCAAAUGCGAAGGCACUUUGCUGGCGCGCUCCUGACGCUGAAACACGAAAGCUACGGGAGAGAACGGGAUUAGAUACCCCGGUAUUCGUAGCCCUAAACGAUCACGACUGGCUUUGCGGAGUAUCGACCCUCUGCGAGGCGAAGCUAACGCGUUAAGUCGUGCGCCUGGGUAGUACGAUCGCAAGAUUAAAACUCAAAGGAAUAGACGGGGACUUGCACAAGCGGUGGAUCAUGCGGCUCAAUUCGAUGACAAACGAAGAACCUCACCAGGGUUUGAAACCAAGACGAAAACUUUGGGAAACCAGAGUCCCCGAAAGGCGGCUUGGCAGGUGAUGCAUGGUCGUCGUCAGUUCGUGGUUUGAACUGUUCCCUUCUGGGGUAACGAACGCAACCCCUGUUGCCUGUUUUAAAUGUCAGGCGAGACUGCCCCCUCACGGGGGAGGAAGGUGGGGAUGACGCCAGAUCAGCAUGUCUCGGAUUGAGGGCUGCAACUCGCCCUCAUGAAGCCGGAAUCGCUAGUAAUCGCGGGUCAGCUAUACCGCGGUGAAUACGUUCUCAAGUCUUGUACUCACAAUAAACGCGCACAGCAGCGCGCACUUCUAUGCGGUUAAAAUCCGUACCCUCGAUUUCGUCGUCGAGGCGUAGCAAAAGGGCAAGCAUAUAUCCGUGAGGGUAGUGCCGGAGGGCCCGGACGCAAAAAGCAGCCUCUGCAAACUAAAGGGCGUUCGACCUACCAGUGGGCGGUGAGGGUAGGGAAGAACUAAGAAAAUCCCGCAGUGGAUGUUUGGAACAGAAGUGCUCGUAACCUGUGGAGAUCUGACGCUGUUACCCCGAAAAUCGGGGUAUAAUGAAUCUGACGCAGCGUCAGAAGUCAGCUGGGUCAUAGUAUUCGAAAGAAAAAGGACCCACUCAAUGAAAAAUCUUAGUCCAGAAUAUGUGGUUGGUUUGGUAGAUGGUGAAGGCAGCUUUACCGUCUAUGUCCGAAAUCCGGAUGUAAAGAGCUUUGUCAUUCGGCGAGUAAUGGUAGAACCGAAAUUCUACGUAAAACUCAUCGAGCGCGAUAAAGAAAUUCUCUUUGCAUUGCAGCGGUUUUUCGGAUGCGGGAGCGUGUACUUUCAAAAAGAUACGCGGUCUAAUCACCAAAACUGCUAUCGAUAUGAAGUCUUCCGGUGGGAGAACCUUCAAACUAAAAUCAUUCCGUUCUUCAAGCAAAACAAAUUGAAGUUUGCUUCUAAACAGCACGACUUUGAAAUAUUUUGCGUGAUGAUGGAAAUAUUAUCCAAAAAAGAGCAUCUUACGGAUAAAGGACUUAGACAGUUGUUUAAAUUAAAAAGACAAAUGCAUUGAGCUCGCGCAGUGCGGGAAAUCCGCUUGCUGCGUGGGAACAUCAAUUCUUAAGAUUCUAAGGAGAUAAUCGCCCGUCAAGUCAGGGAAGUCGGGAGUGCCUGAAAGUCAUCUUCGGAUGAACCACGGUAAACUCGAUGACAAGGACUAAGUCGUAACAAGGCACGGGUAGCGGAAGCUGCUCGUGGAACAAUU